AACGAACGCUGGCGGCAUGCCUAACACAUGCAAGUCGAACGAGACCUUCGGGUCUAGUGGCGCACGGGUGCGUAACGCGUGGGAACCUGCCCUUAGGGUCGGAAUAACUCCCCGAAAGGGGUGCUAAUACCGGAUAAUGUCUUCGGACCAAAGAUUUAUCGCCUUUGGAUGGGCCAGCGUUGGAUUAGCUAGUUGGUAGGGUAAAAGCCUACCAAGGCGACGAUCCAUAGCUGGUCUGAGAGGAUGAUCAGCCACACUGAGACUGAGACACGGCCCAGACUCCUACGGGAGGCAGCAGUGGGGGAUAUUGGACAGUGGGCGAAAGCCUGAUCCAGCAAUGCUGCGUGAAUGAUGAAGGCCUUAGGGUUGUAAAGCUCUAUUACCCGGGAUGAUAAUGACAGUACCGGGAGAAUAAGCUCCGGCUAACUCCGUG
Molecule: ribosomal RNA, 433 nt
Filed under: uncultured bacterium
Lineage: Bacteria
Description: partial 16S ribosomal RNA
Rfam family: Bacterial small subunit ribosomal RNA
Source: RNAcentral